CGGUGGUCCGGAAAGUGGCUCAGGUGAAGUCUUCUUUGACGUGUCUUCUGUUGUCUCUUUGUACCUGUGGACGGAAAGCGAGCAAAGCCUCGCAGGUUUCCUUUACCUACGCCCAACAUGCCCCCAGGAUAAACCUAAGAGAGUAGAGGAAAAGAUUUUCUUACCCAGCAGGCAUUAGAUGUUACAGCAAAAUAAUUUAAUUUUAGAAUCAGGCCCAAGGUGAAUGAAGAAAGGAAAUGAGUACCGG
This is a long non-coding RNA of Lontra canadensis (Northern American river otter), 247 nucleotides long. RefSeq lists it as uncharacterized. The record is from RefSeq and is a predicted model, not a curated record. The transcript is spliced from 3 exons. NCBI's taxonomy places the organism in Eukaryota, Metazoa, Chordata, Mammalia, Carnivora, Mustelidae.